GAUGAACGCUGGCGGCGUGCCUAAUACAUGCAAGUCGAGCGAACGGACGAGAAGCUUGCUUCUCUGAUGUUAGCGGCGGACGGGUGAGUAACACGUGGAUAACCUACCUAUAAGACUUGGAUAACUUCGGGAAACCGUAGCUAAUACCGGAUAAUAUUUUGAACCGCAUGGUUCAAAAGUGAAAGACGGUCUUGCUGUCACUUAUAGAUGGAUCCGCGCUGCAUUAGCUAGUUGGUAAGGUAACGGCUUACCAAGGCAACGAUGCAUAGCCGACCUGAGAGGGGGAUCGGCCACACUGGAACUGAGACACGGUCCAGACUCCUACGGGAGGCAGCAGUAGGGAAUCUUCCGCAAUGGGCGAAAGCCUGACGGAGCAACGCCGCGUGAGUGAUGAAGGUCUUCGGAUCGUAAAACUCUGUUAUUAGGGAAGAACAUAUGUGUAAGUAACUGUGCACAUCUUGACGGUACCUAAUCAGAAAGCCACGGCUAACUACGUG
RNAcentral lists this ribosomal RNA (497 nucleotides) under uncultured bacterium. RNAcentral's name for it is "partial 16S ribosomal RNA". It matches the Rfam family "Bacterial small subunit ribosomal RNA", at positions 28 to 507 of the family's 1533-position model. The record is from RNAcentral.